Molecule: small RNA, 177 nt
Filed under: Numida meleagris (helmeted guineafowl)
Lineage: Eukaryota; Metazoa; Chordata; Aves; Galliformes; Numididae
Description: TUC338 (ENSNMEG00000005670.1)
Source: RNAcentral
UUGACAGUGCUGGAAAUUGAAGUUCCUUUUUUAUCUACAGAACAGGUACAGCAUGUACAGAGGCAACAUAAACCCAGGCAGGCUGCUGAUGUGUCUUAGCUCUGUCCUGGGCUUAGAAACAUGAAGGGAAGAGGGAAUAAGCUGCUCCUCAUGGCCCUGUGAGGUUGUGUCGCUGCU